ACCAAACAGCUAGCUUAACCCACCAAAACACAGGAUUACGAUUUAAAUAAUUUUACAAAAACUUAAAGGAAAAAAUAAUCAUUGACCACCCCAGUACGGGGGAA
Molecule: ribosomal RNA, 104 nt
Filed under: Sauvagella robusta
Lineage: Eukaryota; Metazoa; Chordata; Actinopteri; Clupeiformes; Clupeidae
Description: partial 16S ribosomal RNA
Source: RNAcentral